UGAGGCUCGAGUCGCGGCGCCUGGGGCGGUGGCCGCCGGACCAAAGCUGGCCUCUCCCGGCUCCUCCUCCUCGCUCCCCAAGGCCUUUCCCACCGCGUCAUUGUCUCGGUUUAUCUGCAGAUACGUCUACCUAGCAGUCAGCCCAGCAGCGUAAGUGGUGACCAGUGUGGGCCUCUUUGAUCCUGAGACCGAAGGCUCGGCCACUGGCCCUCUCCAUUUGUUCCUUGUUGCCCUCCCUUCAUGAUUCAAUCCAUUAAUUAGGACUUUUCCUACCAGCUGGCAGUUCAGAGCUCCGCAUCCCCAGGCCUCUGAGUCACAGUUCCUGCCUUCAUGAAACUAGGAGUUGGGGCCACUGCAUUCUACUCCUUCGGGACUAUUGUUUCAUUUCUCAGUCCCUCAAACCCUUUAUUGGAUGAACAUGGGGUUAGGACAGCGGUUCUCCACUGCAACAGUUUUGCCUCCCAGGAGACAUUUGGCAAUGUAUGAAUCAUUUUCAGCCUCUCAUCUGGGGUGAGAUGUCAUUGGAAUCUACAGAUGGUGGAGGGCACAGUGCUUUUCACCUUGGCUAACUUCAAUGUUAAUGCCCCAAGAGAGAUGAUAUUGUUUCAGAGUGUUACAGAAAAAAAGAUACAGCAAGGUGUUUAGAGGUCUACUAACCCAGGACCACUUUAACGCGGUAGCUGCAGGCUUUGAGAAUCAUCAGCUGAUGUGAAUUUGGGCAGAACACCCAGGUGAGGCUCAGGUUUUAGUUACAAUUUCUUAGGAACGUGUUCUUAUUCUACCUAAGCCUCUAAGCACCAAGACAUCUUCUCUUGCAAUCUGCUCUGAGUUCCCACUUUCGCAUAGAUUUUGGCCUGUGAUUUUACCCUCCGGUGAGUUAUUUUAUGUUUUAAAGCAUAUUUUUAAUGUCUAUUAAGUAUUUUUAGUUAUCAGUGGGAGAUGCUGUCUGUAUAACAAUAUACCGUUGCUGAGUGUAACAUUGUCUUCUAAGAGUUUUUUUAAAAAUUGUGGUAAAAUAUACAAAACAUAGAAUUUAUCAUUUUAACCAUGUUAAAGCGUGCACUUCAGUAGCCUUAAGUACAUUCACUAUGUUGUGCAACCAUCAUCACCAUUCUCCUGUAGAGUUUUCAUCAUUCCCCCAACUGCAACUCUAUACCCAGUAAGCAAUAGCUCCCCAUUUUCUCCAAAACCCAGGCCCCUGGCACCAUUCUACUUGCUGUCUCUAUGAGUUUGACUACGGGUACCACGUAUGAGUGGAAUCAUACAGUAUUUCUCCUUUUGUGACUGACUUCUUUCUUUUAGCAUAAUGUCUUCAAGUUUCACUGUGGCAUGUGUCUUUCUAAGAGUUUGAAAGUGUUUUUUUUUCAUAGUUAUAGCCUUAGGUUCCCUGGGAUUAAUCUGUAUUUAAGUGUGAGGUGCAGAUCUAAAUGUAUCCCAAUAUGGACAUGCCAUUGUCCCGAUAGAAUGUAUUGAUUAAUCCAUCUUUUCCACACUGAUCUGUAAUGCCGUCUGUCAUAUAUCGGAUAGCUAUGUAAAU
RNAcentral lists this long non-coding RNA (1537 nucleotides) under Homo sapiens (human). Its description in RNAcentral is "HSALNT0377000". Lineage: Eukaryota; Metazoa; Chordata; Mammalia; Primates; Hominidae. The record is from RNAcentral.